AGAGACUCUGAAGGACAGUGAAAAGAGAUUUGGUUACAGGAUACCAAUGAGUAGUCCUCGGGGAUUCUGGAAACUGUGUCAGGCCCUUUUCCACUCAAGCAGGGGAGCAAACGAAUGGAAUUAGUUACUCAAGAUUAACUACUUUUACUCUCCCUCCCUCUCCUCAAAUGUCUGAUUACCUGUACUGAGGCUAUUGCCUGUGCGAACCCAGAGUAAAAUUUAUUCAUUGCAUUUAGAGCCUGGGGACAGUUUAACGGAAAUAACAGUUUCCUCAGUUAUUUCAUAACUUAAGCAGUGUGUACAUUAGAACAAAAGCCUGAAAAUUCAAUAAAGGCAAAUAACACAUGAAAAAAAAAAAAAAAAACAAAAAACAGCCAACAGUAAAUAAGAGUAACUAUAGGAUUUCAGAGGGCCUUUUUCUUUAUACCUCAGUGGAAUAUAAACCAAAAAGAUUUUAGGCAGUUUAUUAAAAAUACCAGAUCCUUAACCCACUGAGCAAGGCCAGGGAUCAAACCCUCAACCUCAAGGUUCCUAGUCAGAUUUGUUUCCGCUGCGCCACAACAAGAACUCCUGGAGAUGCUAUUUACUCCAAGGGACAGUUGGAGGAUUAAAAAGGGAUGCACGGAAAGCACCUAGUAUAAUGCCUGAUAGAAUCAGUACUCAAAAGCUUGUAGCUGUAAAUGAGUGCAUGCGAUCAUGAAGUUAUCAUUUUCUUAUAGAUGAUAUAGAUAUACAUUAAACUAAUAUGGUCAAAUUGCAAUAUACUGAAAACUUAUGUUAGAGACUAGCUAUAUAGCUCUCUGAUGACCUGGCUUCCUCUGAGGAUAAAGUUGAAAAUAAUCUGGAAGAACUGAUGGAUGGCACAUGUUUUAAUCAAUUUCCAUGAGUUCUUGAUAAAGGACCGGCUGACACUGGGUUCAAAGACCUGGAGGUCUUUUAAAAAGCCCCUGUGCUCUGCCAACCAAGGGAAGAGCAGGACCCACAUGUUCUUUUCUGAAUGAAGCCUCCCAAAAUGUGGCUAGCCCCAUACCCUGCGGGGAGACACUUUCCACAGAGUCAAAGUUCUUCACAAAACUCAGCUCCAUUCCAACAUAUAGGCCCCAAAAUACUACAUCUUGGCUCCAAUUAUUUUAAUAUGGGGGAAAUUGAGGAUUUAUGUUACCUAAAGCCAGCUAAUCUGGCCAUUCAGGGGAAAAAGUUAAUGAGGUACCCAUGGGGCCACUGACGGUAAGCAAUUUCAUUCCUUGGUGGAUCUUCCAAGGUAAAUUAGUUGCACAAUGGACCUGUAGAAUAAUAUAGAAUUGGUAUCAGGUAUAUGCCAUGAUGGGACGUGACAAUUUUAGCAGAGGUCAUAUGGCAGGACCAGUUGUAUUUAGGGACCAAUCAUAGUAUAGGAUUCUUAUCUUUCUGUUUUCUAUAAAAGUAUAUUCAUCUAAAUCAUCCAAAACUGGUUUCAAGUCACUAACAUAAAUGCUAAAAGAACAUGAGGCUGGAAUUCAAAGUUUUAAGGCUUAAAAUAACCAGGUAAGUUCUAAUACCCUAUACUCUUAGAACCAUUCCAUCACAAGCAUGUAAAAAGACACGGAGCAUUACAUCUGUGGCAUGCGUGGGUUCCCAGGCUAGGGAUCGGACCCAUGCCACAGCAGCCACCUGAGCCAUUGCAAUGACAACUUCAGGACCUUGACCCACUGAGCCACCAGGGAACUCCCACAAGUGUGUACUUGUCAUAGGAUGUGAUGGAAAUGGCUUUUCACCUCCAGUCUUCCUCCCAAUACCCCAAACCCAGUCUAAUCAUGAGAAGAACAUCAGAUAGAUUCUGAUACUGGAGGCUCCGACAAAAUAUGUGCCCAGUCCUCAAAACUGUCAAGGUCAUCAAAACCGUGAACUCCAAGAACUGCCAUAGCCAAGAGGAGCCUUAAAGAGACAGGACAACUGGAGUUCCCUGGUGGUCUACUGGUUAGGGCUUGGUGUUUUCACUGCUUGGUGUUUUCACUCCCUGCUCUGGGACCUGAGAUCCCACAUCAAGCUGCUGCAUGCCUUAGCCAAAAGAGAGACAUGGUAACUAAAUGUAAUAUGGGAUUCUGCAACAGAAAGGAAGGACCAUAGGUAAAAACAAAGAAAAUGGAUAUAAUCUCUGGAUACUAGUUAUUAAAGUAUUAGCAUAAUUUUUUAAAAAGACAUGGAGCAUCAAAUGACAUGCAAAUUAUUUUCUUAGCUGUACUCCAGGGAAAUGGCCACCAGGAUGCAGCUAAUUGGUAUAGAAUUAAGGUAGUGUUAAUGGGAAAAGAAGAGAGAUGUUGUAAAGUGAAAAUCAGAAGAAUUUAGGGGUUAAAUGGAUUUGAAGUUAUGGGAAAAAGAUGGGAAAGAAACAUGAUGUUUAUACUGAGAAAUGCUCUCAACUAGAAAAAUUAUACUCAACUUAAUAAAAACGAGGAGAGCAAGAAUGACUUGUAGGGGCUGAAGACGAACACCACAAUCAAGAAGAAACACCUAACAGGUAUUGGGAAAAGAGGCAAGUUAGAAAGACGGCACUUGCAGGGUCAGAAGGACAGAUGGUGAGGUCUAGCCCCUCUUCCCUGUUUUAUUACAAAAAAAUUCAAAUAUAAAGCCCUGAACACUCACCUGCCCACCACCUAUAUUCUACCAUUGACAUUUUACUUUGUGUUAUUAUGUUCCUAUCCCUCUAUUAUCUCCAUUCAUCAAUCCACUUUAUUUUUAAAACAUACAUCUCAAAGUACACAUUACCCUGAAUACUUAAGCAUACCUAUCAUUAACUUGAGUUCAAUAUUUGUUUAUGGGAUUUUUUUUAGGUAAAACUUAUAUACAAUGAAAUGCACAAAUCUUAAGUGUACAUUUCCUGAGUUUUGACAGAUGCAUACACCUGUGUAACACCAACCCCUAUCAACAUACAAACCCUCACAAUAAUUUCUGUCUCCCAGAAAACUUCCUCACACCAUUUCCUAGUUAAUCCCUGCUCCCACCCUUCCAGAGGCAACCCUUCUUCUGAUAUUUUUCCCCCCAAACAACUUAGUUUUGCUUAUUCUAGAAUUUCAUCUGAAUGUAACCUGCAUUGGGUCACCUAAAAGAUUAUUUGAGAAAUGCAAGAGCUCUGGUUUUGAAUUUGAUUUGAACUGAUUUUCAAGUUACAAAAGUAAUGCUUGUUCCCUAGUAGGGUUAAGUGGAAACACAC
RNAcentral lists this long non-coding RNA (3190 nucleotides) under Sus scrofa (pig). RNAcentral describes it as "lncRNA (ENSSSCG00040073173.1)". The record is from RNAcentral. Lineage: Eukaryota; Metazoa; Chordata; Mammalia; Artiodactyla; Suidae.